Molecule: long non-coding RNA, 1156 nt
Filed under: Homo sapiens (human)
Lineage: Eukaryota; Metazoa; Chordata; Mammalia; Primates; Hominidae
Description: HSALNT0372215
Source: RNAcentral
UUGUCUUCCCGAGUAGCUGCUCCAUUCCCGGCAUAGAGGAUCAGGAGAGGGGACGCCACCUGCCACACGCUGGAUGCUGGGGUCCGCACGACUGCGGCUUGUGUCGCUGUGGUUGGUGGUGGUGAUGGAAACUGCAGCGUGGCUGGAGUGAAGAGAAACUGUCUUUAAAAUCUGUCUGCCUGGAUAAACUCAAAGGAGCCUUUACAGAAAGCACAUUCACACAGACUGGCUAAUGAGACCCCACACUGAAGAAGCCUAGAACUUCCACAGACUCCCUGAAAUCUAAGUCCUCAUUUUUAACAUACAGCUUUUAAUACUAGCUUCAGAAGUCCCGGAUCCCUGCAAAGUUAAUAGAGUUCCCUGGCCCCUUCUAUGUUGAGACAUGGUGAAAAGGCAGCCUCUAUCAACCAGAAAGCAGACUCUUUUCAGCCACAGGAAGAGAGAGGUUCAUGUAACCUACUUAGGAACAGAGUUUAUUGGUUCCAAAGGCAUGAAGUCAGAGUUGUCAUCAGUUUAUCGGCGGAGAUGCUGUUACUGGGCAACAAUGAACCAUUUCUUGAUUGGAUUGUGAUGUGACGAAAAGUGGAUUUUAUACGACAACCGGCAAUGACCAGCUCAGUGGUUGGACCAAGAAGACGCUCCAAGGCACUUCCCAAAGCCAAACUUGCACCAAAAAAGGUUAUGGUCACUAUUUGGUGGUCGUCGGCUCGUCUGAUCCACUGCAGCUUUCUGAAUGCCAGUGAAACCAUUGCCUCUGAGGAGUGUACUCAGCAAAUUGAUGACAUGCACUGAAAACUCCAGCGCCUGCAGGCAGCAUUGAUCAACAGAAAAGCCCAAUUCUUCUUCAUGACAGCACCUGACCACAUGUCACACAACUCACGCUUUAAAAGUUGAACAAAUUGGGCUACGAAGUUUCACCUCAUCUGCCGUAUUCACCUGAUCUCUCGCCAACUGACUACUACUUAUUCGAGCAUCUUGACAACUCUUUGCAGGGAAAAUGCUUUCAGGACCAGCAGGAUGCAGAAAAUGCUUUCAAGAGUUUAUUGAAUCCUGAAGAAUGGAUUUUUACACUAUAGAAAUAAACAGACUGGGCGCAGUGGCUCACGCCUGUAAUCUCAGCACUUUGGGAGGCCAAGGCAGCCAGAUCACCUGAGGU